UUUCUGUAUACUCUCUGAUUUUUGUUUUUAACCAAAAGAAAAUUUUUUCCUAAAUGAUGCCCAUUUUUACAGGAAUUUAUCAACAAAGAUCAGGAAGAACAAGAGCGCCAUCAUAGAUGUAUCGCGGUAUGCAAAAACACGCCAAAAAAUUAUGCCGGCAAAAAACAAGUUUUUUUUGUUGUAUUAAUACCGUCGUCGUUGCGAAUUUCUACGAAAAUUUAAUCAUCAUCGUCUCUUCAUAUGUGUGAUUUUUUGGAUUUUAUUACUCACCAUCGUAGCGUUCUGCUUGUUCGGCCAAUUUAGCCUUGUAUACAUUAUUUUCCCGUUCAGACAUUGUGCAAAAAAAUUAUUUGAGUUGUGUGUGUGUGUGUAUGGAACAAGGCUGGAAAUCCCCUUUUCGUUUUUCUUUUUAAUAAAAAAUUAAAACUUUUUGAAUCCCGGCGUCGUUGUGCUUCUGAAUUUCAGUUAUGACUUCGUCGCCUUCGUUCCGUUUUUCUUUCUUGGCUUUUUUUGCUUAACUUUUUUUCUCUACUACGUUUUUUUUCUUGAUUCUCUCUGACAAGCCGCUUCUUCUAUACUGUUUUUUCAAUGUCGUCGUUGGGUGUACGCAGGGUAAAGUCGCUGUAUAAUC
This is a long non-coding RNA of Stomoxys calcitrans (stable fly), 631 nucleotides long. RefSeq lists it as uncharacterized. NCBI's taxonomy places the organism in Eukaryota, Metazoa, Arthropoda, Insecta, Diptera, Muscidae. The record is from RefSeq and is a predicted model, not a curated record. The transcript is spliced from 2 exons.